Non-coding RNA from Cherax quadricarinatus, 355 nucleotides. The record is from RefSeq and is a predicted model, not a curated record. NCBI's taxonomy places the organism in Eukaryota, Metazoa, Arthropoda, Malacostraca, Decapoda, Parastacidae.
UUCUCACAUUUUCCCUAGAUAAUAUAUACUUGGGAGGUCCUGGAGGGAUUGGUACCAAACUCACACAUGAAAAUCACUCCCUAUGACAGCAAAAGACUCGGCAGGAGAUGCAACAUUCCCCCGAUGAAAAGCAGGGGUGCCACGAGUACACUGAGAGACAACACAGUAUAUCAUGCUGGAACCCGGCAUUUGAUGUCACUCCUGCAGAGUUGAUCACAGGCGGCAUAGUCACAGAACUUGGUGUCUUCAAGCCCAGCGAGCUACAUACCAUAUUACAAGCCCAGUGAUUAGAUAAACAAGUUUUAUUGUGCAAGGUGUUGCAGUGGGAGACAAAAAUGCUGAGUAAAUCAGAAAU